Molecule: ribosomal RNA, 519 nt
Filed under: Fusarium oxysporum
Lineage: Eukaryota; Fungi; Ascomycota; Sordariomycetes; Hypocreales; Nectriaceae
Description: SSU rRNA
Rfam family: Bacterial small subunit ribosomal RNA
Source: RNAcentral
CACCGUAGGACUGGCCGUCCCAUAUGAAAAGAUUAUAUUAGAAUUGAAUGAAGCUUUGUUUAUAUAUUGAUAAUGACAGUAUAUAUAUCGUGUCUUGACUAAUUGCGUGCCAGCAGUCGCGGUAAUACGUAAGAGACUAGUGUUAUUCAUCUUAAUUAGGUUUAAAGGGUACCCAGACGGUCAAUAUAGCUUAUAAAAUGUUAGUACUUGACUAGAGUUUUAUGUAAGAGGGCAGUACUUGAGGAGGAGAGAUGAAAUUUCGUGAUACCAAAGGGACUCUGUAAAGGCGAAGCAGCCCUCUAUGUAAAAACUGACGUUGAAGGACGAAGGCACAGAGAACAAACAGGAUUAGAUACCCAAGUAGUCUUUGCAGUAAAUGAUGAAUGCCAUAGGUUAGAUUGGUCAAUUAUAGUCUAGGGUUAGUCUAGCAAACUAAUACCUAUACUAUUAUACCUAAUAUCUGGUCUAUAAAUGAAAGUGUAAGCAUUUCACCUCAAGAGUAAUGUGGCAACGCAGGAC